This 465-nucleotide ribosomal RNA is filed under the name Vreelandella stevensii. RNAcentral describes it as "partial 16S ribosomal RNA". It matches the Rfam family "Bacterial small subunit ribosomal RNA", at positions 338 to 795 of the family's 1533-position model. The record is from RNAcentral. Lineage: Bacteria; Pseudomonadati; Pseudomonadota; Gammaproteobacteria; Oceanospirillales; Halomonadaceae.
CCUACGGGGGGCAGCAGUGGUGAAUAUUGGACAAUGGGCGAAAGCCUGAUCCAGCCAUGCCGCGUGUGUGAAGAAGGCCUUCGGGUUGUAAAGCACUUUCAGUGGGGAAGAAAGCCUUGGGGCUAAUACCCUCGAGGAAGGACAUCACCCACAGAAGAAGCACCGGCUAACUCCGUGCCAGCAGCCGCGGUAAUACGGAGGGUGCGAGCGUUAAUCGGAAUUACUGGGCGUAAAGCGCGCGUAGGCGGUCUGAUAAGCCGGUUGUGAAAGCCCCGGGCUCAACCUGGGAACGGCAUCCGGAACUGUCAGGCUAGAGUGCAGGAGAGGAAGGUAGAAUUCCCGGUGUAGCGGUGAAAUGCGUAGAGAUCGGGAGGAAUACCGGUGGCGAAGGCGGCCUUCUGGACUGACACUGACGCUGAGGUGCGAAAGCGUGGGUAGCAAACAGGAUUAGAUACCCGAGUAGUC